This 253-nucleotide ribosomal RNA is filed under the name uncultured bacterium. RNAcentral describes it as "partial 16S ribosomal RNA". It matches the Rfam family "Bacterial small subunit ribosomal RNA", at positions 524 to 776 of the family's 1533-position model. The record is from RNAcentral.
UACGGAGGGGGCAAGCGUUAUUCGGAAUUAUUGGGCGUAAAGGGCGCGUAGGCGGCUAGAUGUGUCAAAGGUGAAAUCCCUCGGCUCAACUGAGGAACUGCCUUUGAAACUGUCUGGCUUGAGGCCGGGAGAGGGUAGCGGAAUUCCGAGUGUAGCGGUGAAAUGCGUAGAUAUUGGGAGGAACACCAGUGGCGAAGGCGGCUACCUGGACCGGUUCUGACGCUGAGGCGCGAAAGCGUGGGUAGCAAACAGG